This is a long non-coding RNA of Coregonus clupeaformis (lake whitefish), 4241 nucleotides long. RefSeq lists it as uncharacterized. The transcript has 5 exons. Lineage: Eukaryota; Metazoa; Chordata; Actinopteri; Salmoniformes; Salmonidae. The record is from RefSeq and is a predicted model, not a curated record.
AGUUUUUUUUAAAGGAAACAAUUGAAGGGUAAAAGUUAAGAUUCACUUAGAGUUGUAGCUGGCUGGCAUUUGUGGUGUAUUGCGUCUUGACGAGUGAUGGGAAAAGGCUUUCAAGCAUUCUAUUUCUCUGCUCAUGGAUCCAAGUCGUGUUGGGUCCCUCCUAUAGGUCUCUCUACUUCUGCAUCCACUCAUCUCGCCUCUCUCUCACACUAGCCUACCCAUCUAUCUCUGUCUCUUGUCUAGCGAAUGAUUCAGAAAAAGAUCAUGGGCGUAACUAAAAGGGGAAAAGGAGCAUUCACACAGAUUUGGAACUAUGGACAAUGAAUAGAGGAGCAGAACUGUUUGGGUUUCUGGACACGUCCACGCCAGGCAGGCCCGUGAGGGGGACCAACGACAUGUGGUGCGCGACUGACUGGCAGUCUGGACACUUAAACAAAUCAGAGAGUCGUUUGGCUAGUUUGCUUGUCUCAGGCCACUCAAGCAAAAGUAGGCUAAUGCCAGUGUUUGUAGUAAACUGCUCCGGAUUGUAUUGACUCAUUGCAUACCUUUGCUCUAUUUCAAAGUGCAUCUAUGCAAGAUAGCUCCGGGGUUGUUUCUCGCUGGACAAAAUCGUAUAGCUGUAGCAAACUCUACACUGCUGCUGCAGAGCUCGAGCUUUUCUAUCGUCAAAAAUUCUAUAGCCUAACUGAAAUUCAAUGUGGACAUCAGUAACGCCUAUUUUAUUGGAGUCACGGUAUCAGGUGCUGAAAUCUGAGGAAGACUUUCAUACAAGCAAGGAUGCAGGACCUCGGGCAGAAACACCGUUUUCUCAAGCCAGAAAAACAAAAAAACACAGAGAAAGAGUUUGAGCGAGAGAGAUCAGUAGCUGUGUGGGCCUGGACAAGGAGAACAGGAGGAGGAGAAACAGAGAGAAAGAAGAGGAAGAGAAGAAGAGUGGGAGUAGGUGGAAAAAGAGGAUAGGAAUGGUGCCUGUUUGGAAGCAGUGAGUGAUGAACCAGGGAGCAGGUGAACCCAGAUGUGGAUGGCCAAGGGCUCUCUGGCUCCUCUCCUUCCGUGGCCCUCUGCUCCGUGCCAGGGUCUCAGGGCCAGCCAGGCAGCGGCGGAGUGGGCAGGCGAGCCGAGGCAAGGGGAGGCGAGACGGGCUCUCAUCCCCGCUGGCAAGCUGCUCCUCAGCAGCGCGGAGCAGCAAAUCAAUAUGGAGGAGAGAGGCUAGCAGGGGUCGCCCAGCACUGCCCCGGGCCCCAGAGCCCAGGGACCCAGCGCUGCCAGCUCUCUCUCCUCCUCCUCCUCCUCUAUUACCAGGACCAGAACCAGCCACUGUAUGGAGCACAUCAGUCAGACCCUAACCCUCAACCACCCGCUCUCUCUCUCUGUGUGUAAGCAUGUCUGUAUGUGUGGUUCCGCCGUAGGGGCUUUCCUGGUCCAAGACCACUUGAUAAAACUUUGCUAGCGAGAAAGAGAGAGAAUAAAAAACGGACAUCAAAGAUAUUUUUCUUCUAUUUUCUUUCUCUGAUUAGUCAUUCUUACUCAUUCCACCUGACUGUUUGAAAGAGAGUUCAGUGAAGAGGCCUCUUAUAUUGAAUUGAACAGGGCUCUCUUGUCAGUCCCCCUCCUAGCAUGUACUGUACAGUCACCAUGCUCUCUACAUCUGAUGAACCAGGAUAAAAUAACAAUUAGAUUUUUUUUUCUCUCUUCAGCAGAUUCAAAGAAAAUCUUUUUCGCCUCCGGUUUUCUUACUCACGACUCGGGUUACUAUCAGAGGAGGUGGCAGAGGUUAUUGAUCUAUAUGGAGAAGGAAGAGGUGCUGGUUUUAAUACAGUACCUUUCACUGUCUGGUGGUUAUAUAGUAGUACCUGAUAACCCAUUCACUGUACAGCUGAACUAUAUUCAGGAGUGAAUGAGUCCUGAGUGAGAGAUGAAAAGGACGAUGGACAUAUAGCGCCUGGACAGUGGCCGUAUCCACCAGUUCUAUUUGAUGUGACUUUUCUCCUCCAUAUUUGAAGAAUUCUCUCCACACAAGCUGUGAAAAGACACUCUACACAAGACGCCCUAUCUUUAGAUACUCAAAAAAAGGAUGAAAAAAUUGAAAACAUUUCUUAAUUAAGAAUGACUGUAAGUGCUGAAUGGAAAGCCCGACACACAAAAAGCUUAAUUAAAUGUUUUCAUUGGGAAAACCGCUGGGCUGGAGAGGACAAAAGGACAGAGCUAAUUUGGGCCUUAAGCAGGAACACCUUCACAGAGUGAGAUCUACAAACAACACAAUAUUGCAGACUUCACUUGAUGCUGAGGUUACUAUGGAGAUACAGUGGAAGGAUCACGCAUCAAGCAUAAUGUCCCGUGCAGACCAAACCAGACACACAGAGAAGAUGUAAAGCCAUCCACUGUUCUUGUAAUAAAGGUAAAUAAAAAGACCCCACCACAGUCAAGAGGAUUCAGUUCUCCAGUCUACUGAUUAUCACCAAGUGUCUGUGUGGUCAGGUAAGUAGGAGUCUUAACAAGGGAAAGGUACGUUUAUAAGCGGUGGUUGAAAAGUAAUAUUUUUUUGGAAUAGUUUCAUUAAAUCUUAAUGAAAUAUUUUGAAACCAAUUUUGGGGGGAUAUUGGUUGAGACCCCAAGGGAUCCUUUGCCCGUUUCUAAUUUAGAGUAAAGCUUUUAAAUGUAAAAUCCUUGAUUUGCUCUAGUUUUUGUAUGCUUUUGCACUGCAGCUUCAUUCUUUUACCUAUCAUUUUCAUAUCAUUGAUUGUAAUAACUAUUUUAAUGUAAAAAUUAUGGAAUGCUGCAUGUUUCAAUGUUUUGUGGAAAAAAAUGAAAAUAAAGUGAACGUAAUUGGAAAAAGAAAAGCUGUUUUUGCAUUUGAAUGAAUCAAGUGACAAUAUAAAAGUUUAUCAAUGACCAUAAUAUACUGCAUAUUGUAGGUACAGAUGUAGGAUUCUCAUUUGAGCCAGUAUACUACAGCAAGAAAAUAAUGCUGCAGGAACAGGAAAUGUGAAUUAUUAUGUGGAUUAUAAUUAAUCAAAUAAAAAAAUGUAGGGUUUGAUACAUUUUAUGUUAGGGCAGACCAAGUCUAACAUUUUAAAGUGGAAAUUACAAACUUUAGAACCCUUUUUAAACCUUGAAAAGUUUGCAUUUCUUGCCGUGCAGGAAAAUUAUCAUCAACAAAAGAGUGAUCAAAUUAAGAUCCUACAUCUGUAUACAAUAUGAAUGUGGGUAAUGUCACACAGGAGGUCCAACAUUUGCAACAGCUAUUUAGAUCCUCUCAGAGUUAUCCUGAAGGACCAGAAAGGAGACAGUUAAACCAAGUGGCCUACGUCUUUGGUGCCAAUUAGGUCCCUGUGUGUGAGAGCAUAGGGGGUGUUGAAGGAAGCUGCUGGAGCUGAAGAAGGAGCUACACACACACAGGCCUUGUUUUUUGGUGAUCACUCCUCCUAUUGUUUUCCCACAACAGCCGGUUCAUGCGAUGCCCCAAAGCCCCCAGUGCGCUCCAGUGCUCUGGCUGAAAUGGGCUCUCUGUCCCCUGCACUGGGCUUCCCGCCCGGCCCCUGCCUCCCCCUGACUGGUAAUGACCUGAAAUUAGGGCCAAGCCAGGAGGGGAGGCCCUGGGCCCUGGGCCCUGGCCUGAAAGAAAAGAGAAGAUUAGCCCAUUCUGCCUGGCCAGUCAGCAGUGGUGGUAUUGACCAGGGCCCACCCAGGGAGAGUCCAGUGAGCCGUGAGAUGGCCUGAUAUACAUGCUUACUGAGCUGGACAGAUUCCCUCACUCUCACCAGGGAUAAACCCAACCAUACAAGACACUUUCUUAAACACUGCUCUGGAGAUUAUAGAAGUGACCCCCCCUCCCUGGGUGGAAACACACACAAACUGGUCAGACCUCACCGUAUCCUCUGUCCAGACUGCCAUUAGGAGUUUGGCCAGGCUUCUCAAUAUCGCUGUCCUGCGAGGCGAAAAGGGGUAAUCAGAACAGAACAGACCAAGCAUCCUACAGUGGCCUGAAAUGGUAGUAAAUAACAGCAACAUUAUAUUGACAUUUACUGUAUCACGUCACUUCAGUUCUGAUGACUAUUGUGAAGAAUAUGGUGAGGGAAUUAAAACUCAACACUAUCCUCUACAGUUCUGAGGUCUCUUGGCAACAGGUUUUAUGCCCCAUCUAGUGAUAAAGUCGAUGUCAGCAAACUUGUCACGCCCUGGCUCUGGGGACUCUUGUAUGUUGAGCCAGGGUGUUAGUUUCUUUGUGUAGUGUCUAUGUU